This 149-nucleotide RNase P RNA is filed under the name Austwickia sp. RNAcentral's name for it is "partial RNase P RNA component class A". It matches the Rfam family "Bacterial RNase P class A", at positions 206 to 367 of the family's 367-position model. Rfam says of the family: Ribonuclease P (RNase P) is a ubiquitous endoribonuclease, found in archaea, bacteria and eukarya as well as chloroplasts and mitochondria. Lineage: Bacteria; Bacillati; Actinomycetota; Actinomycetes; Micrococcales; Dermatophilaceae. The record is from RNAcentral.
GUAAACCCCACCCGGAGCAAGACCAGACAGUGCGCGUUCGAGGGCGGCCCGCCCGAGCGCACGGGUAGGUCGCUAGAGCCGUCCGGCAACGGCCGGCCGAGAUGGAUGACCGUCCUCGACAGAACCCGGCGUACAGGCCGGCUCAUCUG